This 71-nucleotide transfer RNA is filed under the name Ameiurus melas (black bullhead). It matches the Rfam family "tRNA". From Rfam's summary of the family: Transfer RNA (tRNA) molecules are approximately 80 nucleotides in length. Their secondary structure includes four short double-helical elements and three loops (D, anti-codon, and T loops). The record is from Rfam by way of RNAcentral. Lineage: Eukaryota; Metazoa; Chordata; Actinopteri; Siluriformes; Ictaluridae.
GGUUCUAUAGUGUAGUGGUCAUCACGUCUGCUUUACACGCAGAAUCCUGGGUUCAAUCCCCAGUGGAACCA